AGAAAUCGGGCGUCCACCUGGAGAACAAGGAUAAAGAAAAGAAGAAAUCAGGCGUCCACCUGGAGAACAAGGACAAAGAAAAAUAGAAAUCAGGCAUCCACCUGGAGAACAAGGAAAAAGAAAAAUAGAAAUCAGGCGUCCACCUGGAGAACAAGAACAAAGGAAAGAAGUAAUCAGGCAUCCACCUGGAGAACAAGGACAAAGGAAGGAAGAAAUCAGGCGUCCACCUGGAGAACAAGGAUAAAAGAAAUAGAAAUCAGGCACCCACCUGGAGAAUAAGGGAAUAUAAUUG
Molecule: long non-coding RNA, 292 nt
Filed under: Nicotiana tabacum (common tobacco)
Lineage: Eukaryota; Viridiplantae; Streptophyta; Magnoliopsida; Solanales; Solanaceae
Description: long non-coding RNA (NTAB_LNC001789)
Source: RNAcentral